ACUCCGAAUGCCAUGUACUUAUACUCGGGAGUCAGACUGCGAGUGAUAAGAUCCGUAGUCGAAAGGGAAACAGCCCAGACCACCAGUUAAGGUCCCCAAAUAUAUGUUAAGUGGAAAAGGAUGUGGGGUUGCUUAGACAACCAGGAUGUUGGCUUAGAAGCAGCCACCAUUGAAAGAGUGCGUAAUAGCUCACUGGUCGAGUGACCCCGCGCCGAAAAUGUACCGGGGCUAAACAUAUUACCGAAACUGUGGAUGAACCUCUUUAGAGGUUCGUGGUAGGAGAGCGUUCUAAGGGCGGUGAAGUCAGACCGGAAGGACUGGUGGAGCGCUUAGAAGUGAGAAUGCCGGUAUGAGUAGCGAAAGAAGGGUGAGAAUCCCUUCCACCGAAUAUCUAAGGUUUCCUGAGGAAGGCUCGUCCGCUCAGGGUUAGUCGGGACCUAAGCCGAGGCCGAUAGGCGUAGGCGAUGGACAACAGGUAGAGAUUCCUGUACCAGUGCUAAUUGUUUAACCGAUGGGGUGACACAGAAGGAUAGGGAAUCGCACGAAUGGAAAUGUGCGUCCAAGCAGUGAGUGUGAGAAGUAGGCAAAUCCGCUUCUCGCGAAGCAUGAGCUGUGAUGGGGAAGGAAAUUAAGUACGGAAGUUCCUGAUUUCACGCUGUCAAGAAAAGCCUCUAGGAAGAGUAGUACUGCCCGUACCGCAAACCGACACAGGUAGAUGAGGAGAGAAUCCUAAGGUGAGCGAGAGAACUCUCGUUAAGGAACUCGGCAAAAUGACCCCGUAACUUCGGGAGAAGGGGUGCUCUAUUAGGGUGCAAGCCCGAGAGAGCCGCAGUGAAUAGGCCCAGGCGACUGUUUAGCAAAAACACAGGUCUCUGCAAAACCGUAAGGUGACGUAUAGGGGCUGACGCCUGCCCGGUGCUGGAAGGUUAAGAGGAGUGCUUAGCUUCGGCGAAGGUACGAAUUGAAGCCCCAGUAAACGGCGGCCGUAACUAUAACGGUCCUAAGGUAGCGAAAUUCCUUGUCGGGUAAGUUCCGACCCGCACGAAAGGCGCAACGAUCUGGGCACUGUCUCAACGAGAGACUCGGUGAAAUUAUAGUACCUGUGAAGAUGCAGGUUACCCGCGACAGGACGGAAAGACCCCGUGGAGCUUUACUGCAACCUGAUAUGGAAUGUUUGUACCGCUUGUACAGGAUAGGUAGGAGCCGAAGAGACGUGUGCG
RNAcentral lists this ribosomal RNA (1220 nucleotides) under Listeria monocytogenes. RNAcentral describes it as "partial 23S ribosomal RNA". It matches the Rfam family "Bacterial large subunit ribosomal RNA", at positions 953 to 2170 of the family's 2925-position model. The record is from RNAcentral. Lineage: Bacteria; Bacillati; Bacillota; Bacilli; Caryophanales; Listeriaceae.